UCAAGCUACUAAGGGCACAUCGAGGAUGACUUGGCGCCAAGAAGCGAUGAAGGACGCGUAAAGCUGCGAUAAGCCCCGGGGAGCCGCCAAAAGGCCUUGAUCCGGGGAUCUCCGAAUGGGGAAACCCUCCCGGCGAUGAGCCGGGAAUCUCACGCUGAAUUCAUAGGCGUGUUGAAGCGAACGCGGUGAAUUGAAACAUCUUAGUAACCGCAGGAACAGAAAAAGAAAUUGACUUCCUGAGUAGCGGCGAGCGAAAGGGAACCAGCCUAAACCCUAUCCGUGCAAGCCUGCAGGCGUUGCGGAUGGGGGGUCGCGGGAGUCACCGGCCCCUGUUGCAGAGGGGGCGUGGAGUUACAAAGGAGCUGACGAGCAGAACGGGCCUGGAACGCCCGGCCAUAGAAGGUGAAAGCCCUGUAGGCAAAGUCUGCUCUCUCCAUGGGUGACCACCCAAGUAAGGCCAGUCACGUGGAACCUGGUCUGAAUCCGUCCGGCCCACCGGACAAGGCUAAGUAUUCCUUGGCGACCGAUAGUGAACAAGUACCGUGAGGGAAAGUUGAAAACUACCCCGGAAGGGGGGUUAAAAGCGCUGAAACGAUGUGCCUACGAGCAGUCGGAGGGCUAUGGCGGCGCAAGCCGCAAUGCCUGACGGCGUGCCUUUUGCAUAAUGAUCCGGCGACUUACGAUGCGUGGCAAGGUUAAGCCCUUAAGGGGCGGAGCCGUAGCGAAAGCGAGUGCUAAUUGCGCGAAUCAGUCACGUGUUGUAGACCCGAAUGUAGGUGAUCUAUCCUUGGACAGGUUGAAGUCCGGGUACAACCGGAUGGAGGACCGAACUCAUUAGAGAUGAAAAUCUAUGGGAUGAUCUGAGGAUCGGAGCGAAAGACUAAUCAAACUUACCAAUUGCUGGUUCUCCCCGAAAUAGUUUGAGGGCUAGCCUCGCGUAAUUCCUGGAUGGGGGUAGAGACACUGAAUGGGAAAGGGGGUCCACCAGACUGCCCUGCCCAAUCAAACUCCGAAUACCAUCCGUGGCUACCGCGGGAGUGAGACAGUGGGGGAUAAGCUUCAUUGUCGAGAGGGAAACAACCCUGACCAUCGACAAAGGCCCCGAAACGCGUGCUAAGUGCGAAAGGAUGUGAGGACGCAUCGACAACCAGGAUGUUGGCUUAGAGGCAGCCAUCAUUUAAAAAGUGCGUAACAGCUUACUGGUCUAGCGUUCUCGCGCCGACAACAUACGGGACUCAAGCACGCUGCCGACGUCAUGGAUGUGUUUGCUGCGCUGCAGCGGAUACGUGGUAGGGGAGCGUUCCAUACCGGGUUGAAGGGCGACGGUGACGACGCCUGGACUGUAUGGAAGUGAUACUGCCGGAACGAGUAGCGGUAAAACGAGUUGGAAUCUCGUUCGUCGAAAGCCUAAGGUUUCCUGGGGCAGGUAAAUCCGCCCAGGGUAAGUCGGACCCUAAGCCGAGGCCGAAAGGCGUAGGUGAUGGAUGGCAGGUUAAUAUUCCUGCACCGAUUUUGGAAGGUUCGAAGCACAGGAGGGACGGAGCGUGGACAGCAAACGGGAACUUGUUCCCUGUCCUGCCGACGGCCUGCCGGGGAUAAAAGACCGGCACAAGGGUUGAAAGCGGGAGGAGUCCUCUUUUGGACGAAGAGUUCGAAGCGCUCACAAGAAAAUCUUCGGUGCUACAACCAAAGUCGUCCGUACCGGAAACCAACACUGGUAGGCGGGGUGAAUAUCCUAAGACGCUCGGGAGAACCUCCGUUAAGGAACUAGGCAAAAUAGCCCCGUAACUUCGGGAGAAGGGGUGCCCUCAUAGGUGUUAAAGCCUGCGAGGGUCGCAGUGAAAUGGGUCUGCCGACUGUUUACUAAAAACACAGGUCUGUGCUAAGUCGUAAGACGACGUAUACAGACCGACGCUUGCCCACUGCCGGAAGGUCAAAGUAAGGGGUUAGCCGCAAGGCGAAGCUCUGAACCCAAGCCCCGGUGAAGGGCGGCCGUAACUAUAACGGUCCUAAGGUAGCGAAGUUCCUUGUCGGGUAAGUUCCGACCUGCAUGAAUAGCGUAACGAGUGGACCGCUGUCUCAACGGAGGGCUCGGCGAAACUGUAGUUGUGGUGAGGAUGCCACUUGCCCGCGGCUAGACGGAAAGACCCUGUGAACCUUCACUGUAGCCUCAUAUUGGGUUCUUGUGCUACAUGCGUAGGAUAGGUGGGAGGCUUUGAUGUCCCGGUUUCGGCCGGGGCGGAGCCAACGGUGAAAUACCACCCUUGCGGCAUCGGCAUUCUAACUGAGUCCCGUGAAACCGGGCUCAGGACAUUGUGAGGUGGGCAGUUUGACUGGGGCGGUUCCCUCCUAAAGAGUAACGGAGGGGUCCAAAGGUACUCUCAGCACGGUCGGCAAUCGUGCGCAGAGCGUAAGGGUAUAAGAGUGCUUGACUGGAAGACCUACAAGUCGACCAGAUACGAAAGUAGGGCCUAGUGAUCCGGCGGUUGUGUGUGGAAACGCCGUCGCUCAUCGGAUAAAAGGUACUCCGGGGAUAACAGGCUGAUCUCACCCAAGCGUCCAUAGCGACGGUGAGGUUUGGCACCUCGAUGUCGGCUCAUCGCAUCCUGGGGCUGGAAAAGGUCCCAAGGGUUUGGCUGUUCGCCAAUUAAUAGCGGUACGUGAGCUGGGUUUAGACCGGCGUGAGCCAGGUCGGUCCCUAUCUGUCGUGGGCGCAGGAGACUUGCGGAGUUUUACCCCUAGUACGAGAGGAUUGGGGUGGACGAACCUCUGGUGUGCGGGUUGUCCCGUCAGGGGCAGUGCCCGGUAGCUAUGUUCGGAACGGAUAACCGCUGAAAGCAUCUAAGCGGGAAGCCCUCUCCAAGAUCAGAUCUCCCCAUCAGGCUCCUGGAAGACUACCAGGUCGAUAGGCCGGGUGUGCAAGCCCCGUAAGGGGUGCAGCUAACCGGUACUAAUCAGCCGACUGGCUUGACCAC
This 2975-nucleotide ribosomal RNA is filed under the name groundwater metagenome. RNAcentral's name for it is "bacterial LSU rRNA". It matches the Rfam family "Bacterial large subunit ribosomal RNA". The record is from RNAcentral.